Molecule: long non-coding RNA, 856 nt
Organism: Xyrauchen texanus (razorback sucker)
Lineage: Eukaryota; Metazoa; Chordata; Actinopteri; Cypriniformes; Catostomidae
Exons: 3
Source: RefSeq, a predicted model, not a curated record
UUUGACUUGGAAAGACUACACACCACAGCAACUCACAGGUCGGGCAACCAGCUGGACCUCAUUUUUACACACCAGCACGGACUACACCACCCAGCCCCUGGCUGUCUGACAUCCUUCGUGAACAUCGGACUGUUCUCAGGGCAGCUGAGAGGAGAUGGCGGAAAUCUAAAGAUCCAGCUGAUCUAGCCCAACGACACCACAGUGACCGUUCGAAUCGCUGCCUGUCUGGCAGACAUCUCGGCCUGGAUGAAGGAACACCACCUUCAACUCAACCCUGCCAAGACAGAACUCCUUGUCUUUCCAGCCAACCCUGCUGUUGAACACAACAUCACCGUGCAGCUGGGUCCAACUACAGUUUCGCCUUCCAAAACGGUCAGAAAUCUAGGGGUAACCAUUGAUGAUGAGCUAAAUUUCACAGACCACAUUUCAAAAACUGCAAGAUCUUGUAGAUUUACACUCUACAAUAUCAGGAAGAUAAGACCCUUCCUCUCUGUACAUGCCACACAACUGCUCGUUCAGUCCCUUGUCAUAACUAGACUGGACUACUGUAAUGUUCUCAUUGCAGGCCUUCCUGCAUGUGCUAUUAGACCUCUCCAAAUGAUCCAGAAUGCAGCAGCACGUCUGGUCUUUAAUGAACCUAAGAGAGCACAUGUUACACCACUCUUUGUCUCUCUCCACUGGCUGCCGGUUCAUGCACGUAUUAAAUUCAAGGCCCUGAUGCUGGCAUAUAAAACAGUCACUGGGUCUGCUCCAGCAUACCUAAAAACAUUUAUGCAGAGCUACGUUCCCACCAGAAGCCUGCGGUCGGCUAAGGAACGUCGCCUUGUCGUACCAAAACAAAGAGGCACCAAAACAC